This is a long non-coding RNA of Peromyscus eremicus (cactus mouse), 421 nucleotides long. RefSeq lists it as uncharacterized. Lineage: Eukaryota; Metazoa; Chordata; Mammalia; Rodentia; Cricetidae. The transcript has 2 exons. The record is from RefSeq and is a predicted model, not a curated record.
UGUUACACCACAUUCAGUUAGAUAACUGUUGGUUUUGUCAGUACCUAGACUGCUGUCAAUGAAAUGAACAGAGACUUAAAUUUCAUCUUUCUAGGUGCCAAGUGGAUCAAGAGUCUGCUGAAUUCUUGUUUUUUAGUGAUACAGUGAUUAUAGAUCUAAGGCUGGCGAUUUUGACUUAGUAGAUGUGUAUUAGUGCUGUUCUCUACUUUUAAGAUGUCCAAAAUGAAGCUCAAAGGAAGCUUGGAAUGGAGAAAAUGGUUUCUUGAGGUUUCUUCUCAUGAAAGCUGAUAGAAGUAUCCUAGAACUUCAUAUCCUUUUAUAUACAUAUUUUACAGAAUCUGUCUUAACUGUAAAAUAAUCGGAACAUGAAACCUACCAAAUAAUAAAGGCUAUUGCUGUUGAUCUUGGAUUCUCAACAGAA